Molecule: small nucleolar RNA, 130 nt
Organism: Myodes glareolus (Bank vole)
Lineage: Eukaryota; Metazoa; Chordata; Mammalia; Rodentia; Cricetidae
Product: small nucleolar RNA SNORA4
Source: RefSeq, a predicted model, not a curated record
AUACCGGAAACUGAUUUGUGGGAAUUAUUACCUUUACCAUCCCAGGCAGUUUGGCAGAAGGAGUAAGAUCACACUCCCGAGUGGGCUAUUUCACUUAGUGUGGGUUCAUUACUGUCUUGGAGCCUACAUU